GACGAACGCUGGCGGCGUGCUUAACACAUGCAAGUCGAACGGAAAGGCCCUGCUUGCAGGGUACUCGAGUGGCGAACGGGUGAGUAACACGUGGGUGAUCUGCCCUGCACUUCGGGAUAAGCCUGGGAAACUGGGUCUAAUACCGGAUAGGAGCCAUUUUUAGUGUGAUGGUUGGAAAGUUUUUUCGGUGUAGGAUGAGCUCGCGGCCUAUCAGCUUGUUGGUGGGGUAAUGGCCUACCAAGGCGGCGACGGGUAGCCGGCCUGAGAGGGUGGACGGCCACAUUGGGACUGAGAUACGGCCCAGACUCCUACGGGAGGCAGCAGUGGUGAAUAUUGCACAAUGGGCGCAAGCCUGAUGCAGCGACGCCGCGUGGGGGAUGACGGCCUUCGGGUUGUAAACUCCUUUCGCUAGGGACGAAGCUUUUUGUGACGGUACCUAGAUAAGAAGCACCGGCUAACUACGUG
This 465-nucleotide ribosomal RNA is filed under the name uncultured bacterium. RNAcentral's name for it is "partial 16S ribosomal RNA". It matches the Rfam family "Bacterial small subunit ribosomal RNA", at positions 28 to 507 of the family's 1533-position model. The record is from RNAcentral.